UAGAGUUUGAUCCUGGCUCANGAUGAACGCUGGCGGUAUGCGUUAACACAUGCAAGUCNAACGAGAUUCUUCGGAAUCUAGUGNCGGACGGGUGAGUAACGCGUGAGAACCUGCCUCGAGGAUGGGGACAACAGCGGGAAACUGCUGCUAAUACCCAAUAANCCGAAAGGUAAAAGAUUAAUCNCUUCGAGAGGGGCUCGCGUCCNAUUAGCUAGUUGGUGGGGUAAGAGCCUACCAAGGCNGCGAUCGGUAGCUGGUCUGANAGGAUGAGCAGCCACACUGGGACUGAGACACGGCCCANACUCCUACGGGAGGCAGCANUGGGGAAUUUUCCGCANUGNGCGAAAGCCUGACGGAGCAAUACCGCGUGAGGGAGGAAGGCCUUUGGGUUGUAAACCUCUUUUCUGGGGNAAGAAGUCCUGACGGUACCCCANGAAUCAGCAUCGGCUAACUCCGUGCCAGCAGCCGCGGUAAUACGGANGAUGCAAGCGUUAUCCGGAAUUAUUGGGCGUAAAGCGUCCGCAGGUGGUACAUCAAGUCNGCGGUCAAAAACCGGANCUUAACUCCGGNCAGGCAGUGGAAACUGGUGAACUAGAGUACGGUAGGGGUAGAGGGAAUUCCCAGUGUAGCGGUGAAAUGCGUAGAGAUUGGAAGAACACCAGUGGCGAAGGCGCUCUACUGGGCCGUAACUGACACUGAGGGACGAAAGCUAGGGGAGCGAAAGGGAUUAGAUACCCCUGUAGUCCUAGCUGUAAACGAUGGAUACUAGGCGUUGCUUGUAUCGACCCGAGCAGUGCCGUAGCUAACGCGUUAAGUAUCCCGCCUGGGGAGUACGCACGCAAGUGUGAAACUCAAAGGAAUUGACGGGGGCCNGCACAAGCGGUGGAGUAUGUGGUUUAAUUCGAUGCAACCCGAAGAACCUUACCAGGGCUUGAAUGUCCGGAACUUCGGGGAAACUCGGAGGUGCCUUCCGGAGCCNGAACACAGGUGGUGCAUGGCUGUCGUCAGCUNGUGUCGUGAGAUGUUGGGUUAAGUCCCGNAACGAGCGCAACCCUCGUCNUUAGUUGCCAGCAUUGAGGGUGGGCACUCUAGGGAGACUGCCGGUGACAAACCGGAGGAAGGUGGGGAUGACGUCAAGUCAGCAUGCCCCUUACGUCCUGGGCGACACACGUANUACAAUGGUCGGGACAAAGGGCAGCGAGCUCGCGAGAGUAAGCGAAUCUCANCAAACCCGGUCUCAGUUCAGAUUGCAGGCUGCAACUCGCCUGCAUGAAGGAGGAAUCGCUAGUAAUCGCAGGUCAGAAUACUGCGGUGAAUUCGUUCCCGGGCCUUGUACACACCGCCCGUCACACCAUGGAAGCUGGCCACGCCCGAAGUCGUUACCCUAACCCUGCGGGGAGGGGGACGCCGAAGGCAGGGCUAGUGACUGGGGUGAAGUCGUAACAAGGUAGCC
Molecule: ribosomal RNA, 1453 nt
Filed under: uncultured cyanobacterium
Lineage: Bacteria; Bacillati; Cyanobacteriota
Description: bacterial SSU rRNA
Rfam family: Bacterial small subunit ribosomal RNA
Source: RNAcentral